Molecule: ribosomal RNA, 484 nt
Filed under: uncultured bacterium
Lineage: Bacteria
Description: partial 16S ribosomal RNA
Rfam family: Bacterial small subunit ribosomal RNA
Source: RNAcentral
AUUGAACGCUGGCGGCAGGCCUAACACAUGCAAGUCGAGCGGAUGAAGGGAGCUUGCUCCUGGAUUCAGCGGCGGACGGGUGAGUAAUGCCUAGGAAUCUGCCUGGUAGUGGGGGAUAACGUCCGGAAACGGGCGCUAAUACCGCAUACGUCCUGAGGGAGAAAGUGGGGGAUCUUCGGACCUCACGCUAUCAGAUGAGCCUAGGUCGGAUUAGCUAGUUGGUGGGGUAAAGGCCUACCAAGGCGACGAUCCGUAACUGGUCUGAGAGGAUGAUCAGUCACACUGGAACCGAGACACGGUCCAGACUCCUACGGGAGGCAGCAGUGGGGAAUAUUGGACGAUGGGCGAAAGCCUGAUCCAGCCAUGCCGCGUGUGUGAAGAAGGUCUUCGGAUUGUAAAGCACUUUAAGUUGGGAGGAAGGGCAGUAAGUUAAUACCUUGCUGUUUUGACGUUACCAACAGAAUAAGCACCGGCUAACUUCGUG